UACGGGGGGGGCAAGCGUUGUUCGGAAUUACUGGGCGUAAAGGGCUCGUAGGUGGCCAACUAAGUCAGACGUGAAAUCCCUCGGCUUAACCGGGGAACUGCAUCUGAUACUGGAUGGCUUGAGUUUGGGAGAGGGAUGCGGAAUUCCAGGUGUAGCGGUGAAAUGCGUAGAUAUCCGGAAGAACACCGGUGGCGAAGGCGGCCUGCUGGGCAGUAGCUGACGCUGAAGCGCGACAGCGUGGGGAGCAAACAGG
RNAcentral lists this ribosomal RNA (253 nucleotides) under uncultured bacterium. RNAcentral's name for it is "partial 16S ribosomal RNA". It matches the Rfam family "Bacterial small subunit ribosomal RNA", at positions 524 to 776 of the family's 1533-position model. The record is from RNAcentral.